CCUACGGGAGGCAGCAGUGGGGAAUAUUGGACAAUGGGGGCAACCCUGAUCCAGCCAUGCCGCGUGUGUGAAGAAGGCCCUCGGGUUGUAAAGCACUUUCAGUGAGGAAGAACGCCUGGUGGUUAAUACCCAUCAGGAAAGACAUCACUCACAGAAGAAGCACCGGCUAACUCCGUGCCAGCAGCCGCGGUAAUACGGAGGGUGCGAGCGUUAAUCGGAAUUACUGGGCGUAAAGCGCGCGUAGGUGGCUUGAUAAGCCGGUUGUGAAAGCCCCGGGCUCAACCUGGGAACGGCAUCCGGAACUGUCAAGCUAGAGUGCAGGAGAGGAAGGUAGAAUUCCCGGUGUAGCGGUGAAAUGCGUAGAGAUCGGGAGGAAUACCAGUGGCGAAGGCGGCCUUCUGGACUGACACUGACACUGAGGAGCGAAAGCGUGGGUAGCAAACAGGAUUAGAUACCCGUGUAGUC
RNAcentral lists this ribosomal RNA (465 nucleotides) under Vreelandella stevensii. Its description in RNAcentral is "partial 16S ribosomal RNA". It matches the Rfam family "Bacterial small subunit ribosomal RNA", at positions 338 to 795 of the family's 1533-position model. The record is from RNAcentral. Lineage: Bacteria; Pseudomonadati; Pseudomonadota; Gammaproteobacteria; Oceanospirillales; Halomonadaceae.